This 952-nucleotide non-coding RNA is filed under the name Lepophidium profundorum (blackrim cusk-eel). RNAcentral's name for it is "12S ribosomal RNA". It matches the Rfam family "Bacterial small subunit ribosomal RNA". The record is from RNAcentral. Lineage: Eukaryota; Metazoa; Chordata; Actinopteri; Ophidiiformes; Ophidiidae.
CAAAAGUUUGAUCCUGACUUUACUGUUAACUUUAGCCUUACUUACACAUGCAAGUAUCCGCCUCCCUGUGAAAAUGCCCUCAUCUUCCCGCACGGAAAAGAGGAGCCGGUAUCAGGCACACUCACCCGCCCAUGACACCUUGCUCAGCCACACCCCUAAGGGACUCCAGCAGUGAUAAACAUUAAGCUAUGAGUGAAAACUUGACUUAGUUAAGGUUUAGAGGGCCGGUAAAACUCGUGCCAGCCACCGCGGUUAUACGAGUAGACCCAAGUUAAUAGAUUAACGGCGUAAAGCGUGGUUAAGAAAGACCCCCCCCCCCCAAAAAAAUAAAGUUGAACACCCUUAAAGCUGUAAUAUGCACCUAGAGGCACGAAGACCCACUACGAAAGUGACUUUAACCCUUUUGAACCCACGAAAGCUUAGAUACAAACUGGGAUUAGAUACCCCACUAUGCUAGGCCCCAAACAUAGACAAAAUUACUUCUAUCCGCCAGGGUACUACGAGCAUUAGCUUAAAACCCAAAGGACUUGGCGGUGCUUUAUACCCACCUAGAGGAGCCUGUCCUAUAACCGAUAAUCCCCGUUUAACCUCACCUCUCCUUGUUUUCACCGCCUAUAUACCGCCGUCGUCAGCCUACCCUGUGAAGGCUUAACAGAAUGCAAUGUUGGUACAACCCAAAACGUCAGGUCGAGGUGUAGCGAAUGGAGAGGGAAGAGAUGGGCUACAUUUUCUGACCCAGAAAAUUACAGAAGGUAAAAUGAAAUAAACCCGAAGGAGGAUUUAGCAGUAAGCAGAGAAUAGAGUGCUCAGCUGAAACUGGUCAUAAAGCGCGCACACACCGCCCGUCACUCUCCCCUACGAUACUUCUAGACUAAACUUAAUACACGCAUAUUAUUUUAAGGGGAGGCAAGUCGUAACAUGGUAAGUGUACCGGAAGGUGCACUUGGAAAAA